Small nuclear RNA from Ailuropoda melanoleuca (giant panda), 104 nucleotides. NCBI's taxonomy places the organism in Eukaryota, Metazoa, Chordata, Mammalia, Carnivora, Ursidae. The record is from Ensembl.
GUGCUUGCUUCAGCCGCACAUGUACGAAAAUUGGAAUGAUAGAGAGAUGAGUACGGCCCUUGCGCACAGAUGACAUGAAAAUUCAUGAAGCAUUGCGUAUUUUU